This 102-nucleotide microRNA precursor is filed under the name Marmota monax (woodchuck). The record is from RNAcentral. Lineage: Eukaryota; Metazoa; Chordata; Mammalia; Rodentia; Sciuridae.
AUAUAAAUCAUCUCAUCAUCUUGUUAACAUGCAGAUUUUGAUCCAGGUUCACUGUAGAACCUGAGGUUCUGCCUUUCUAAUAAACUCCCAAGUGAUGCCAGG